This 77-nucleotide transfer RNA is filed under the name Burkholderiaceae bacterium. RNAcentral describes it as "tRNA-Arg". It matches the Rfam family "tRNA". From Rfam's summary of the family: Transfer RNA (tRNA) molecules are approximately 80 nucleotides in length. Their secondary structure includes four short double-helical elements and three loops (D, anti-codon, and T loops). Further hydrogen bonds mediate the characteristic L-shaped molecular structure. tRNAs have two regions of fundamental functional importance: the anti-codon, which is responsible for specific mRNA codon recognition, and the 3' end, to which the tRNAs corresponding amino acid is attached (by aminoacyl-tRNA synthetases). tRNAs cope with the degeneracy of the genetic code in two manners: having more than one tRNA (with a specific anti-codon) for a particular amino acid; and 'wobble' base-pairing, i.e. permitting non-standard base-pairing at the 3rd anti-codon position. The record is from RNAcentral. Lineage: Bacteria; Pseudomonadati; Pseudomonadota; Betaproteobacteria; Burkholderiales; Burkholderiaceae.
CCCGCGUUGGCUCAACUGGAUAGAGCAUUUGCCUACGAAGCAAAAGUGUGCACGUUCGAAUCGUGUGCGCGGGGCCA